This 51-nucleotide small RNA is filed under the name Sinorhizobium meliloti 2011. RNAcentral describes it as "putative ncRNA". The record is from RNAcentral. Lineage: Bacteria; Pseudomonadati; Pseudomonadota; Alphaproteobacteria; Hyphomicrobiales; Rhizobiaceae.
ACCACCGGCGGGCACCGUGUAUCCGGUCACAUUCGCGGAGUCGCCGUCGAA